This is a long non-coding RNA of Entelurus aequoreus (snake pipefish), 5926 nucleotides long. RefSeq lists it as uncharacterized. The record is from RefSeq and is a predicted model, not a curated record. Lineage: Eukaryota; Metazoa; Chordata; Actinopteri; Syngnathiformes; Syngnathidae. The transcript is spliced from 3 exons.
AUUACCUGGUUCAAACCAGUACGUCAGACUCCAUUGUCAGACUUUGCAAACAUCAACAAACUAGGACCAUGACCAACAUUGACUUUCCCCUGCAUUUAUUGAGUACGUUUUACCCUAAGUACGAAUGAAAAGAGCAAAAUGAGAUUUGUUUCCCCCCCGAGCCUCGAGUGCAGAUGAUGAGAUGUUUGGAAAAGAGGAAGCACUGGCGCUCGCCUUCCUUCUUCAGAGACAAAGAACCCAGACGGCCUCUGGUUAUCUUGCCCUUCUCGCUCAUUGGCACCUGUAUCAGAGAACCUGUGGAAGGAACGGCGUGGCGCGGGUUGAGAGAGUGGCCGUGCCAGCAACUUGAGGGUUCCUGGUUCGAUCCCCACCUUCUACUAACCUCGUCACGUCUGUUGUGUCCUUGAGCAAGACACUUCACCCUUGCUCCUGAUGGGUCGCGGUUAGGGCCCUGAAUGGCAGCUCCCGCCAUCAGUGUGUGAAUGUGUGUGUGAAUGUGGAAAUACUGUCAAAGCGCUUUGAGUACCUUGAAGGUAGAAAAGCGCUAUACAAGUAUAACCCAUUUACCAUUUACGUUUUGAGAUACGUUGUUAUCCAGUUUUAAAUAAUAAUCAAGGGAAGAUGCACACUAACAACAGUUAGCAGUAGGGAUGAUGUUUGAUAAGGAAUUAUCGAGUUCGAGCCUAUUAUCGAAUCCUCUUAUCGGACCGAUUCCUUAUCGAUUCUCUUAUCGAGUCCAGAUAGGUUGUUGUAUAUGGAAAAAAACACACAAUAUUUGGUUUAACAAAAGCUCACUUUUAUUAUAUAAUAAAAAAAUAAAAUCUAAUAAAUAAAUAAAUAUUGACUCUUACCCACCUAAAAAAAUAAAAUAAAAUAAAUAAAUAUUGACUGUUGUUACCCAAAGUAUAUUAAGUGGGAUUUUUCAGAGAAACAAAUAUAUACAGUAACACAAAAACAACCUGUCUCUGUGAUCACUAUAGGUGUAUAAAUAAUAAUAUAGUGUUAAAUAAAAUCAGUCCCUUGGGCACAAAACUGAAAAUAAUACAGCUCUCCAAAAAGUGCACUUCUGCUGCUAUUUGACAUAACUGUUUGUUAUGAUGCUUUGACAUUUUUGCACUUUAUUUCUUUAUUGAAAGAACAUUCUAUGAAGAGAAAAGUUCUUUGCAAAUGUGGUUACAAUGCUAAUAAAUGAAAAGUCAAAGCUAAAAAAAGAAAUACACUUUAUUGAGUUGACAUUAUUUCUUUAUGGGGGAAAAAUGUUAUGAGGUAGAGAAUAUAACAACUACACUACCCAGCAUGCAACGGGAGUUACGAGCAUGCGCGGUAGCCCCGAAAAGUGUUGCAUGUUGCCACGCUGUGAAAGUAAACGUCAAGAACUCAGCCAACACGCCUCGUCUGCAUUAUUUAUAAUUAGACAGACAACACAUCUACAGUGUGAUUUUGUUUUGUUUACAAGGAAAGAAAAACAAAAGUUAAAAAAGGGAGAUAUGUUGUAUAUAUAUGUAUGUGCUGCGGUUGUUUUAAGAACGUUGCGACAGCUGCCGUAAAGGAGGUGCGUUGCUAUGUUUCCGGUUGGUCGUAAAAGUGUUCGUCAUGUGUUUUACCCUGCUAAAAUCUCUCAGUAAAGUUAUUCGAUGGAUUAUAGCUUUUGUUUUGAACUUUAUUACACCUUGGAGCGCUUUUUCCCGUCCAUUGUUUUCCUGCUUUCGCUAUCUGCGCCUAAUGACUGAGCUACGUGACGUCAUUUAUUGUGAUGUCCCACGGAGCAUUUCUGGUCCGGACGGGAUUCGAAUAAAGAAUCAACUCUUUUCCUUUACUAUAGUGGUCUCGAUAACGGGUACCGGUUCUCAAAAAGGGAUUCGAGUCCGAGGACUCGGUUCUUUUCUUAUCAAACAACCGGGAAAACCGGUUUCGAGUAUCAUCCCUAGUUAGCAGUAGUACAUUUUUGCAGCAACCGAUCUAUCAGUCUGACAUCUAAAAACUAUAUGGCUAUAACAGACAGUCAUGAUUCAGGAUAAGAUAGAAUAGACUUUAUUUAUCCCAUAAUGGGGAAAUAUGUGGUUGCAGUGCAGAUCCAAUAAGUCCACAUAAAAUAAGGUAAAAACACAUGAAGACAAGAGGGAAACAUAAAAGACAUGAAAAGAGCACAGGGCUGAUGCAACCAGCUGUCACUUCAUUGAUGCAAUUUCUACAUAUAGCUACUCAUGAAAACAAGAGGGAAACAUAAAAUACAUGAAAAGAGCAGAGCUGAUGCAACCAGCUGCCACUUCAUUGAUGCAAUUUCUACAUAUAGCUACACAUGAAAACAAGAGGGAAACAUAAAAUACAUGAAAAGAGCACAGAGCUGAUGCAACCAGCUGCCACUUCAUUGAUGCGAUUUCUACAUAUAGCUACACAAGUAAACACAACAAAAAAUAAAUAAAAAAAUUGCAAUAAAUAAUACAUAUUGCACACGUACCGUAUUUUUCGAACUAUAAGUCGCUCCGGAGUAUACGUCGCACCAACCGAAAAUGCACAAUAAAGAAGGAAAAAAACAUAUAUACGUCGCACUGGAGUAUAAUUUGCAUUUAUGGGGGAAAUGUAUUUGAUAAAAUCCAACACCAAGAAUAGACAUAUGAAAGGCAAUUUAAAAUAAAUAAAGAAUAGUGAACAACAGGCUGAAUAAGUGUACGCCAUAUGACGCACAAAUAACCAACUGAGAACGUGCCUGGUAUGUUAACGUAACAUAUUAUGGUAAGAGUCAUUCAAAUAACUAUAACAUAUAGAACAUGCUAUCUGUCAUCUGUCACUCCCGAUCGAUAAAUCCGAUGAAAUCUUCCUCCCCGGAGUCGUCUCUGGUAUGUCCUUUCUUUCUGCUGCUCGAUCGCCGUUCUCUGCUGCAUAUUUCACUGCGUCCAGCUUGUAAUCUGCAGUAUAUGAUUUCCUUUUCGGUGCCAUUUUAGUUCAGCCCUUCUCAGUUUUUGUAAGUUACAGCCAAUGUUGAUGUGAUCCAUUUUAAUAGCUACGGCAGUAGCGUAUAGCAUAUAGCAGUUAGCAUACCAUGACCCACAAUGCACUUCUGCCAUGACCCUCCCCCGCCGAAUUCUUAUUGGUUGACGUGUGACUGACGAUUGCUGACGUGUGCGUGACGAUUGCUGCCAUUUGCUUCGUCUCUUACGCGAAUGAGAUAAAUAAUAUUAUUUGAUAUUUUACGGUAAUGUGAUAAUAAUUUCACACAUAAAUCGCUCCGGAGUAUAUGUCGCACCCACGGCCAAACUAUAAAAAAAACUGCAGUAAUUACGGUAAAUACGGUAAUUACCAAUUACUGAUUUUACUGUGUGUCCUAUGCGACAUAGAAACAACCCCCAGUCUUAAAAGUUCAUCACAUCAAAUAUUUGUAUAUUUAUUAACUUGUUUUAUGCAAUAUCCUCUAUAUUUUGUGAGCUUUAAAGUUGUAUUUAGGCCCAUUUUAUCACCUUAUAUAUCUGAUGCUUUUUAAGCUCUUCUGCAUAAAAUUUGAAAUAAUGUUUUCAAAAUUGCCAGCAAAAAACCAACAACUCUCAGUUAAAAUAUUAAUUGUAAAACAAUGUAUUGAAUUGAUUUAUUAAUUAAACUGUGGAAUAUAAUUCUGUAUUAAUUACUUUGAAAAUACUAAUUAUUUGUUUCAAGAAUAAUAUAUUUAUUUUUAUGACCGAUUUAAAUAUGUAAAUGAUCAGUUCAUAUAUUAAUAAACUUAAACAUUUUCCAUGAUGUUUCUGUUUAUUUAAUCGAUUUGUAAAAUUAUCUAGUGGUAUUUUUUGUUAUUUCAAGGGCAUUUAUUUAAUAUUAAAAGCGUAAAAAUCUUAUGGAAUGUACAUUAAGAAAGUCUGAUCAGUUAUCUGAUUGGCUAAAGAAAAGUCAUUUAGUACAAUAUGGGGUAAAUUUAAACAGUAUAUAUUGUAAAUAAUAUAACAGUUAACAUAAUUCCCUGAGGUAUUUUGCAAUUAAUUAGCUUAAUGUAAGAUGAUAGGGAAUUUUAAAAAUAUAUUUGAAUAAAUAUUUUCUAUCCAAAAUAAAAUGGUAUAACAUUAGACAAACUUGGCUGUACAGAAAAUUGUUUCUUUUUGUUUUAUUGACCCACUUUUACUCAUAUUUCUCCCAUUUGUCUCUUCGAUAAGUGCACAAUAACAACUCUUAUUCUCACAUUUUGUUGGCCCCUUCAAAUGCACUUUUUCAGAUGCAAUUAGGGGUUGCCAUAGUAACAGUGGGUUUAAACAUUGCUCGCCUUCUAAAUGGAGAAUAAGAAAGUGGAACACUACAAAGACUACAUUGAGAAGGGAGCGAUAGUUGAGGAGGGAUGGAUGCUUUUUUUUUUUGUUUAUUUUGUACGAGGAGUGAGGCUAUAAAAAGCAUGUGUAUGCCUGCAAAGGUGGCAGUUGGCUUGGCAUCGAUUCACUGCAUUGUCCCUUCCCCUGUCACACACUGAUAAAAUCCACUCGCAUGGCCCUUCCUCCUGUGGCUUUGACAUACACAAACACACGCACAGACACAGCAUCUGCAUAUGUAACUCGUUUAAUGCUCGAGCUGCGGUGUAGUGUCGCCUCACAAGACCUCUGCAGCCUCGCUCAUCGACUCGAGUGUCGUUCUUUUUACAAAUCUGCAUGCCCUCAGACACCUGCAGCAUUGAUUCCACUCCCUCUCCUCAUUUCACCUAAUUACCCGCUCAGUUAAAGUUGCUUCAACAUGGGCUUCUCAUGGGUUAGACAUACAGUGUAUAGACUUAACUCAUCGCAUCACAGGCAUAGGCACGGUUGACAGCUGCAUGUGUGCUGCAAAGUGUGCUGGUAUCACACAUUUGAAAAAUACAUGGUGUGGUACACAGUGGCCACUCUGCAUUGGAGGCAUCAGAUGGCACUGUUUUUCUUUCUUUAUUUCUUUAUUAUUUUAUGUAAUGCAGAAUGGGAAUUUGAUUUUCAAAUGUAUUUAAAUACCAGGGCUGUCAAUAUUAAUGCAUUGAUGUAGAUUGAUCUAUCAACGUUAAUAAUCUGAUAAAAAAUUUUAAUGCAAUUAACCCAAAAUGACUCAAAAUCCCUGGAAUUGAUCUGGCAUUUCAGGCAGUUUGUCCAAUUAAGGCAAGGCAAGGCACGUUUAUUUAUAGAGCACAAUUCUUUCACAAGGUAAUUUAAAGGGCUUUUCAGAAAAGGGCAAAAGAGGGCAAAAAUCUGAAAAUAAAAUCUUCAUAAAAACAAUCAUAAUUUAAAAUUAAAAUCAAUGAAAUAGGUUUUAUAAAAUACUUUCAGUUGUCAUGUGCACAAUUAAAUACAAGUGUUUGAACAUUGCCAACAUUGGUGUCUGUCUUACAUCUUAGACUAUGUCAGAUUUUAAGAGCAUAAACAUAAUUUUGAUUCCUUGUAUGUCUAGUACAUGUGAAGAAUUUACAAUAAAGCUGAUUUAGAUUUUGAUAACACUGAAACACAGUCUCAGCAUGUUUGUUACUGUCAGCCAUGUGCAAAUGGGCUGUUGAUCUGGUAGUAACAGACUAAACAGAUGCUAAACACCACGUUGGCCCUCUAAAUGGGAAAUUUGAGUACAAAAAACCCAUGCUGGAGCAGUCACGACAAAGUAUAAUGCAAACUCAGCAGAAAAUUUGCGUUUCUAUCAUGAAAUACUAGAAUAAUAUCAUGAAAGGUCACAGUAGUAACAGGACCACAUUAAUGUGGAUGAAUGUUUAUUAAGACAGUUUUUUGUUAACAUGAACAUGAUGUUAAACGUUAAUCAUAAGAUAUUAAUAGAUACGUAAGUAAAAACAUAUUCCCGUCCCUCACUUAAUAUGAAACAUGGAUUAAUAUAGAUUAAAAAUUAUUUUGAAUAGUGAUUAAUUGAAAUGAAUCCAGAGCAACCCUGUGAUUAAUCUGAUAAAAAAAAUAAAUUGUUUGACAACACUGGUGUAUACACAAAAAAUACUAAU